GAUGAAGAACGCAGCGAAAUGCGAUAAGUAAUGUGAAUUGCAGAAUUCAGUGAAUCAUCGAAUCUUUGAACGCACAUUGUGCCCGCCAGUAUUCUGGCGGGCAUCCCUGUUCGAGCGUCAUUUCAACCAUCAAGCCCCGGGCUUGUGUUGGGGACCUGCGGCUGCCGCAGGCCCUGAAAAGCAGUGGCGGGCUCGCUGUCACACCGAGCGUAGUAGCAUACAUCUCGCUCUGGGCGUGCUGCGGGUUCCGGCCGUUAAACCACCUUUUAACCCAAGGUUGACCUCGGAUCAGGUAGGAAGACCCGCUGAACUUAAGCAUAUCAUAAGCGGAGGA
RNAcentral lists this unclassified non-coding RNA (334 nucleotides) under soil metagenome. RNAcentral describes it as "partial contains 5.8S ribosomal RNA, internal transcribed spacer 2, and large subunit ribosomal RNA". The stretch from base 1 to 120 matches the Rfam family "5.8S ribosomal RNA", at positions 35 to 154 of the family's 154-position model. The record is from RNAcentral.